UUUAAUAAUCGUUGAGUUUCCGUAGUUGAAUCGAUCUCAUCUUUGAAUGCCUUAACUACACUCCAUACUAAUCAAGCCGGGAAUGUUUUUUUUUGAAGAAUUGACAGGUGAAAAGCUUUUCCAGAUAUCAUCGUACAAUAUCGAGAAAAUAAACAGUCUUUCUGAAUCUCUUUCUUAUUAUUUGAGGAGCAUUAGAUAAAACUAACAUUUAUUUCAUGUGUUUAUUACAUGUAUGCCAUUUCCUACGUGGCAUUACCACAAGCUUUCUCACACUUUAUAUUCAAACACUCUUCUUAACUAGACUAAUUACAAAAUUUGUCAUUGCUAAUUACAUUAAAACUUUCGUAUAUACUAUAAGCUUAUUGACUAACAAAAUAAUUUAUCCCAUGCCCUACUACUCUUUGAUUACAAACGUUUCCAUUUUCAAAUACGCAGAGAUUUUAUUACCAUAAUCAGAGAUUCUUUAUAAUUAUCGAUUUCAAUAUGGAAAUUCGUAUAGCCU
RNAcentral lists this long non-coding RNA (502 nucleotides) under Brassica napus (rape). RNAcentral's name for it is "long non-coding RNA (BNAP_LNC014412)". Lineage: Eukaryota; Viridiplantae; Streptophyta; Magnoliopsida; Brassicales; Brassicaceae. The record is from RNAcentral.